CUCAGCAAAGUGGAAAUCUGGUAUAAGCGGUCAAUCAUCGCAAAAUCAUUGUUUUGUGAAAGAAUCAGUCGACCUUUCCUAACCAUUUGCAAAGCUAAAACAAGCGUGUUGAUAUAGUAUCUUGUUUUGUAGUCAGUUGGUCUCAAUAAUUAGUAAGUAAAUAAGUAAAUCGAAAACCAAUAAGUAAACCGAUGAGAGACACUUUUGAGAUUCAUAAUUGUGACAUCACGCGGUAUAUCUGAGGUGGCGUUUCUUUUAUACGAAUAAUUUUGACGUAAUGUCGAGUAAUUCAAAUCUGUGAUUCAUUAAUUAAGAGAAUUUCAAAACGAACUAGAGAUCUGAAUGAUGUAGAUUUCGAUUGAGCUGAAAUAGAUUCAUUUUCUUAUUUGCGUCGAAUAAAUGCCUAUCAAUAUGACGCAAAGACGACAUUUUCUAUAACAAAACUCGUAAUUGUUUGAAGAAAUCAGUUUUAGCGUUUAAAAUUGCUUGUGUGGAGACAAACCGCUUUUGUAUCCAAUCGGCUUUAUGGGUGUGUUAAAACGACUUUUAACGACUUAUGUUUGAACCUAAACGACUUAAGAGGAGGAGGAACCACUAGGAACCACCUGGAGCCACCUGAAGCCUAAAUACGUCAGCUGACGUCAAGGGUAAUUGCAAUUCAACACUCAUGGCAGGAGUCGACGACUGAAUUCGGUCUCAUUGCGUUUCGUGGGUGACUGGUCACGUCUAAUCCACGACGACAAGUUUUAAACCUUUCUACACCAAUAUCAUAAUGUGGCCAAUUACUCCUGAAUGGUAAGGCUCAUUACUACAGUGCUUCUGUGUGAAAUAAAUUCGAAGUACUCUAAUGGUGUAUGAAGCAGGCAGAAAAUGACAUAUACACAACUCGAGGGAAUUUCUACAAAUCAGAAAUACUACACUCGUGUAGAAAUUAUUGAAAGAAGAGGCAGCCAAAAUUACUGCUGCUGAAACAGGAACAAGAACACUGAGUAUGACAUCGAAUAACUCACUUAUGAAGAAAAGGAUUCGGGAUAAAGACAAUUAUUUCAAGAAAUCAUAUAAAUGAGGAACCUACAAGAAAAAAAUUACCCCUUAAUAUAAAUGUUAAAGAGAUCAUAAUCUUAAAAAUACUUUUAAAACUAUGUUAAUAUUGUAAAAUUUAUAGUCACGAGCUAGUGUUGUUUUAUUAGGGUCAACCAGUGCCUAUUGACCAGCAAGUUUUUAGUUUAUCAGGGUCAUAACAGUGCUUAUUGACCCCAAGUCGAGUAGAGCUCAGCUUUGCUGCUUGUAAUUUCUAAGUAGCAUCUUCAGAAGUCUAUUUCAUAAGAGCUAGUUCAGUUGUCCAGGAGAUAUGUUUUAUAAUUGAAACCUGUAACUGGUUUAAUAUUUCAAGAUAUAUUUUCCACGUUAAUUUCUUCCAAGUUUAAUGUACAGAUCAGGUAGCUUAGCUUUAUUCAGGAUGUAUAGACCUUAUUAUACCUAAAGGUCAUAUCAUCUCAUUCUUAACUGAUGAGCAUUUACCUAGAAUUUUUGUGCGUUCAUGUUCAGCAUGUUUCAGGAUCCGUAGUUCCCUUCUAAGGUUUCUUAUCACUCUAAUAUCUGCUGUUAGUUAAUUCAUUAUAUGUCAUAGUUUAUUCUGUAUUUGAAUUUAUCAAUCAGCUACUAGGCAGAUCAUUGUUUUGGCAUGUUUAUUGUUACAUUGAAUUUCCUACCAGUUUAACAAUAUGUUAUGUGGUACCUCAGCAUACAACAAAA
Molecule: long non-coding RNA, 1755 nt
Organism: Macrobrachium nipponense
Lineage: Eukaryota; Metazoa; Arthropoda; Malacostraca; Decapoda; Palaemonidae
Exons: 3
Source: RefSeq, a predicted model, not a curated record